RNAcentral lists this long non-coding RNA (490 nucleotides) under Triticum aestivum (bread wheat). RNAcentral's name for it is "long non-coding RNA (TAES_LNC008237)". The record is from RNAcentral. Lineage: Eukaryota; Viridiplantae; Streptophyta; Magnoliopsida; Poales; Poaceae.
AUCUUGUCUAGGUGGAGAGCGUGUCGUUUCAACUGAUGAGUAGAUCAUGGCCCAAAUUGAUGCGACAGAACAUGCCUUGGGUGACCGGCUUCUAGCUCUUCACUUGGUGAGUGCUUGUCUUCAUACAUAUAUGGCUUGCUAUCUUGUUGUGACCCUUGGGCUCAUUGGGCCCACUUAGCAUUUCAGGUAGAGGCCAUGCCGAAGCCCGUGCACCUCCUUCCGAUUCUCAAGGGCCAGAUCCGUUUCAUGAAGUCGUUAGUGAACUUGGAUAAGGACAAGUAUUACCAUAUGCCCUUUUGAAGGUGGGGAAGAGGUGGUUCGCUGAUUUAAGGUGGAGCAUGACUUGUGGCCUAAUGAGACCCCGACUCCUUGACGCGCGCAACCUAGAGGCCACCGAGGUGUCUUGCCGCUCUCUGAGUCAUGAUGGCUUACGGAGCACUUGGACAACGUGAAGAAAAGUGCGAGUCGCUUUGAGGAGAAAUACUAGGCC